UACAGGCUUGCCUGCAGCCUGAUCUUAUGGAGGCAUUUUCUUAAUUGAGAUUCCCUCUUCUCAGAUUACAGCGUGUGUCAAGUUGACCUAAAGCUAUGCAGCACAGAUGUUUUGAGUCAAAGUCCUGUAAGAGGAUUAACAAUAUCACCUAGAUACAAGUGUGUCAGUCAACAGCAGAAACUGUUGGGAUUCUAUGAUCUGAGAAUUCCAAGCAUUCCUUCAGGAUGAGUGAAUUUUCAUAAUUAGCCAGUUCUAGUUAUAGCAAAGUCUGGAAGCUAAAACAGUCCUUCUGGCUUAUAUUUAAAGUUCUUUGUAAAAUUAUCCCUGUCAGAAGCAAUUGAAGAUUUCCAUCAAGGCAGAUUUGCCUUCCAGUUUAUGAAGACUGGUUGUAAGUAUCUAGAUAAAUAUUUCACUAAGAUUCUUAAAAUACUUUUUCCAUUGAAAAAUGUUCUCAAUAAGACACAUGGUUGCCUUCCCAACUGUAAAACCGUUUCAUUCAAUAACUUAGUAGGAUGUAUACAUACAUCGUGAAUUUUUUUCUGAAGAGUUAUGGUUUGAUUAUAAACCUUGGAAUUGAUCCAGAAUUAUUGCUUAUACAUCAUUAUUCUGAGAAAAUGUAACAGCUGGUACGAGAAAAGCAUUUGGAAACAGAGCUGACAGGCUUUCUCCUUGGUUUCCAGAAGAAGGGGGGAUUGUGUAGUUAAAUUAGGCCAAUGCUUUGCUACUUGUUGCUUAUGCAAAACAAAAGUAAAAAUUAGAUGUAUGUACUGGCAUGGGAGAUGGUGACGGCUGCCUUAUGGAGUACAACCAUCUGGGUGGCUGCAGCAAUGACAUUUAUUUUCUCACAGACAGGGGGACUGAAGUCAAAGAUCAAGAUGUUGGCAAUACUGGUUUCUCCUGGAGCUUCCAGCAUAGUUUGCAGAUGGUGACAUCUUCAUAGUGUUCACAUGUCAUCUGUGUGUGCACAUAUGUGCCAGGUCUUAUCUCUAGCAAUGAAGAAUAAAUAAGAGAACUUAUCCCCAAAUACCACCACAUCCUGAGGUACCAGAGUUUGGACUUAAAGGCAUAGAGUGAAGUCAAAAUGUGUUUCUACGAAAAGGAAGAUAGAGUUCCUAAGUCCAUCUGACAGAAGAAAACCACAAACUAUGACUGAAUGGCAGCUCCACUUUAGGCUAUGAUGCAGCUAUGAGAAGAUUCAAGUCUUGUCUCUGCAGAGGUACAGCUCUGCUCCAAGGACUCUUGGGCUGCUCUACAAAUCAGCAGAUGUGACAUGCAGUAGCCCCUCCUUUGUGGCUUCAGUUACCUGUGGACAACUGCAGCUCAAAGCACCUACCUGCAUUUGACUUGGCUCUUUCAAGACAGAAAACCCCCAUGCAGGGAAUGUCUCUACUUCUGUUUAAAUUAGAACACAAGGAUUUCUUUUUUCUUUUUUUCUUUUUUUUUCUUUUUUCUUUUUUUCUUUUUUUUUCUUUUUUCUUUUUUU
Molecule: non-coding RNA, 1483 nt
Organism: Cricetulus griseus (Chinese hamster)
Lineage: Eukaryota; Metazoa; Chordata; Mammalia; Rodentia; Cricetidae
Source: RefSeq, a predicted model, not a curated record